This 345-nucleotide unclassified non-coding RNA is filed under the name soil metagenome. RNAcentral describes it as "partial contains 5.8S ribosomal RNA, internal transcribed spacer 2, and large subunit ribosomal RNA". The stretch from base 1 to 119 matches the Rfam family "5.8S ribosomal RNA", at positions 35 to 154 of the family's 154-position model. The record is from RNAcentral.
GAUGAAGAACGUAGCGAAAUGCGAUACGUAAUGUGAAUUGCAAAUUCAGUGAAUCAUCGAGUCUUUGAACGCACAUUGCGCCCCCUCGUAUUCCGGGGGGCAUGCCUGUCCGAGCGUCAUUGCUGCCCUCAAGCACGGCUUGUGUGUUGGGCCCCGUCCUCCGAUCCCGGGGGACGGGCCCGAAAGGCAGCGGCGGCACCGCGUCCGGUCCUCGAGCGUAUGGGGCUUUGUCACCCGCUCUGUAGGCCCGGCCGGCGCUUGCCGAUCAACCCAAAUUUUUAUCCAGGUUGACCUCGGAUCAGGUAGGGAUACCCGCUGAACUUAAGCAUAUCAAUAAGCGGAGGA